This 20-nucleotide microRNA is filed under the name Schistosoma japonicum. RNAcentral's name for it is "miRNA-3097". Lineage: Eukaryota; Metazoa; Platyhelminthes; Trematoda; Strigeidida; Schistosomatidae. The record is from RNAcentral.
UGGACUAAGUCAUGUUGGUU